CCCACGUUACGGCAGCGUCACAACGCACGGCGAAGGGUCGGCGACCACUCCGACAAGAUCAGGAAAUACUGCCAUCUUUGGAAAAGCCUCAUUGAGAUGAAGAGUCACCUCUGCGAGCACGUCCUGGCCGAGGCAGGCACCAAGGACGGGCAGAAGUCAGCAGACAUCAUCAUCUAUUUGUCAAUAUAUAUUAUACGCACACAAGUAUUUCUUUGAAUGUAGUGAUGAGGGAGAAAUAAUAAUGACUGAACCCAAAAAAAACAUGCCAGUUAAAGCUAUCAGUAAAUGUGCUCUCUGCCUCAGUAAGAAGAAUUUCCACCUGGGCGUACCUGUGUCCCUCCCACUUCUGUACACCUUAAAGCUGUAGGAGGGAACUGGACAGCUGACCCGUGUGGUUCUGCUGCUCUGUUAGCACACAUUAGUGCACCUGUGAGAAGAGCCUGUCAGAGUACAGGUGGUGUGACUGUAUAUAAGCUACAACCGUCCACAAGUCAUUCACUCAUGUUUAAAGGUACACGAGGAGUUGAUUUGUUUAAAAAAAGUCAUUAUAGUUAUGGGUUAUAUACUUUAUUUUAAAACACAGUGUUACGUGGACAUAGCAGGUUAUCAGAUAGUGUUCUGGGUGUUUGUUUCCACUGGGACUCAUCUGCCCCAAGUUACUGCUGCUGAGAUUUAGUUGCCCCUGGAUACACCCCUGCCUGUCUGCAUAUAUGUGUUGUGAAGCUUCUUUAGCAGAGCACCCAGGGGAGAAAGCCUGCUGUCUGCACUCAGUCUUCUGGUGAGGAGAGAGCCGUCCACACCUGGAUGUGAGGGUAAAGCAUUAAAAUCUGAUUUAGUCACAAUAAAGAGGAGACGAUAA
This is a long non-coding RNA of Stegastes partitus (bicolor damselfish), 859 nucleotides long. RefSeq lists it as uncharacterized. NCBI's taxonomy places the organism in Eukaryota, Metazoa, Chordata, Actinopteri, Pomacentridae. The record is from RefSeq and is a predicted model, not a curated record. The transcript is spliced from 2 exons.